RNAcentral lists this ribosomal RNA (253 nucleotides) under uncultured bacterium. RNAcentral's name for it is "partial 16S ribosomal RNA". It matches the Rfam family "Bacterial small subunit ribosomal RNA", at positions 524 to 776 of the family's 1533-position model. The record is from RNAcentral.
UACGUAGGGGGCAAGCGUUAUCCGGAUUCACUGGGCGUAAAGGGAGCGCAGGCGGCACGGCAAGUCUGGUGUGAAAGCCCGGGGCCCAACCCCGGGACUGCAUUGGAAACUGCCGGGCUGGAGUGCCGGAGAGGUAGGCGGAAUUCCUAGUGUAGCGGUGAAAUGCGUAGAUAUUAGGAGGAACACCAGUGGCGAAGGCGGCCUACUGGACGGUGACUGACGCUGAGGCUCGAAAGCGUGGGGAGCAAACAGG